GACGAACGCUGGCGGCGUGCUUAACACAUGCAAGUCGAACGGAAAGGCCCUGCUUUUGUGGGGUUCUCGAGUGGCGAACGGGUGAGUAACACGUGAGUAACCUGCCCUUGACUUUGGGAUAACUUCAGGAAACUGGGGCUAAUGCCGGAUAGGAGCUCCUGCUGCAUGGUGGGGGUUGGAAAGUUUCGGCGGUUUGGGAUGGACUCGCGGCUUAUCAGCUUGUUGGUGGGGUAGUGGCUUACCAAGGCUUUGACGGGUAGGCGGCAUGAGAGGGUGACCAGCGACCAUGGGACUAAGAUACGGCGCAGAAGCGAACGGGAGGCAGCAGGCGAGAAUCUUGCACAGUGAGCGGAAGUGUGAUACAGCAACCCCGCGUGCGGAAUGACGGCUUACGGGUUGUAAACCGAUGUCUACGGUGCCGAAGAGGGAUUGACGGUAAUGAGUAAAGAAGCACCGGCUAACUACGUG
RNAcentral lists this ribosomal RNA (468 nucleotides) under uncultured bacterium. Its description in RNAcentral is "partial 16S ribosomal RNA". It matches the Rfam family "Bacterial small subunit ribosomal RNA", at positions 28 to 507 of the family's 1533-position model. The record is from RNAcentral.